RNAcentral lists this ribosomal RNA (166 nucleotides) under Hyaloperonospora parasitica. Its description in RNAcentral is "5.8S ribosomal RNA". It matches the Rfam family "5.8S ribosomal RNA". From Rfam's summary of the family: 5.8S ribosomal RNA (5.8S rRNA) is a component of the large subunit of the eukaryotic ribosome. It is transcribed by RNA polymerase I as part of the 45S precursor that also contains 18S and 28S rRNA. Lineage: Eukaryota; Oomycota; Peronosporomycetes; Peronosporales; Peronosporaceae. The record is from RNAcentral.
UAACAACUUUCAGCAGUGGAUGUCUAGGCUCGCACAUCGAUGAAGAACGCUGCGAACUGCGAUACGUAAUGCGAAUUGCUAAAUUCAGUGAGUCAUCGAAAUUUUGAACGCAUAUUGCACUUCCGGGGCUAGAUCUUCGGGAAGUAUGCCUCUAUCAGUGUCCAUA